RNAcentral lists this non-coding RNA (23 nucleotides) under Cricetulus griseus (Chinese hamster). Lineage: Eukaryota; Metazoa; Chordata; Mammalia; Rodentia; Cricetidae. The record is from RNAcentral.
ACCAUCUUUCUCACUGUCUGAGC